Molecule: ribosomal RNA, 348 nt
Filed under: Triticum aestivum (bread wheat)
Lineage: Eukaryota; Viridiplantae; Streptophyta; Magnoliopsida; Poales; Poaceae
Description: partial small subunit ribosomal RNA
Source: RNAcentral
AUGGCGCCUCGUCAGCCCCCGGCCGUAGCUUGGUACUCGUCUGCCCUGGACUCGCCGAACGUGUCGGAGGCGAGCCUUGCCCGGUUGCGCCGGAUGGCGACGGCGCGGGGCAUCAAUGGGGCAAAGGUGUUCAAGGCCGGCUCCGCCACCCCUGAGGGUCAAGGGAGCACCUUCUAUCCGUUCUUCGUAAGUGCCAUUGUUGCUGGCCUGGUGCCUCCCUUCUCCGAGUUCUUCUUCUCUGUCCUCCGCCAUUAUAAGCUACAGGCUCUGCAUCUCCACCCCAACUCCGUCCUUCUCCUGGCAAUCUUCGCCUAUUACUGCGAGGCUCACGUAGGGGUGCAGCCCUAA